This 447-nucleotide ribosomal RNA is filed under the name uncultured bacterium. RNAcentral describes it as "bacterial SSU rRNA". It matches the Rfam family "Bacterial small subunit ribosomal RNA", at positions 355 to 825 of the family's 1533-position model. The record is from RNAcentral.
UGGGGAAUUUUGGACAAUGGGGGCAACCCUGAUCCAGCCAUGCCGCGUGAGUGAAGAAGGCCUUCGGGUUGUAAAGCUCUUUUACCAGGGACGAUAAUGACGGUACCUGGAGAAUAAGCCCCGGCAAACUUCGUGCCAGCAGCCGCGGUAAUACGAAGGGGGCUAGCGUUGUUCGGAUUUACUGGGCGUAAAGGGCGCGUAGGCGGCAUGACAAGUCACUUGUGAAAUCUCUGGGCUUAACCCAGAACGGCCAAGUGAUACUGUCGCGCUAGAGUGCAGAAGGGGCAAUCGGAAUUCUUGGUGUAGCGGUGAAAUGCGUAGAUAUCAAGAGGAACACCUGAGGCGAAGGCGGGUUGCUGGGCUGAUACUGACGCUGAGGCGCGAAAGCUAGGGUAGCAAACGGGAUUAGAUACCCCCGUAGUCCCUGAGCGGGCUGGCAAGGCGCAU